GACGAACGCUGGCGGCGUGCCUAAUACAUGCAAGUAGAACGCUGAAGGAGGAGCUUGCUCUUCUGGAUGAGUUGCGAACGGGUGAGUAACGCGUAGGUAACCUGCCUGGUAGCGGGGGAUAACUAUUGGAAACGAUAGCUAAUACCGCAUAAGAGUAGAUGUCGCAUGACAUUUGCUUAAAAGGUGCAAUUGCAUCACUACCAGAUGGACCUGCGUUGUAUUAGCUAGUUGGUGAGGUAACGGCUCACCAAGGCAACGAUACAUAGCCGACCUGAGAGGGUGAUCGGCCACACUGGGACUGAGACACGGCCCAGACUCCUACGGGAGGCAGCAGUAGGGAAUCUUCGGCAAUGGACGGAAGUCUGACCGAGCAACGCCGCGUGAGUGAAGAAGGUUUUCGGAUCGUAAAGCUCUGUUGUAAGAGAAGAACGAGUGUGAGAGUGGAAAGUUCACACUGUGACG
RNAcentral lists this ribosomal RNA (462 nucleotides) under Streptococcus mitis. Its description in RNAcentral is "bacterial SSU rRNA". It matches the Rfam family "Bacterial small subunit ribosomal RNA", at positions 28 to 474 of the family's 1533-position model. Lineage: Bacteria; Bacillati; Bacillota; Bacilli; Lactobacillales; Streptococcaceae. The record is from RNAcentral.